GAUGAACGCUGGCGGCGUGCCUAAUACAUGCAAGUCGAGCGAACGGACGAGAAGCUUGCUUCUCUGAUGUUAGCGGCGGACGGGUGAGUAACACGUGGAUAACCUACCUAUAAGACUGGGAUAACUUCGGGAAACCGGAGCUAAUACCGGAUAAUAUUUUGAACCGCAUGGUUCAAAAGUGAAAGACGGUCUUGCUGUCACUUAUAGAUGGAUCCGCGCUGCAUUAGCUAGUUGGUAAGGUAACGGCUUACCAAGGCAACGAUGCAUAGCCGACCUGAGAGGGUGAUCGGCCACACUGGAACUGAGACACGGUCCAGACUCCUACGGGAGGCAGCAGUAGGGAAUCUUCCGCAAUGGGCGAAAGCCUGACGGAGCAACGCCGCGUGAGUGAUGAAGGUCUUCGGAUCGUAAAACUCUGUUAUUAGGGAAGAACAUAUGUGUAAGUAACUGUGCACAUCUUGACGGUACCUAAUCAGAAAGCCACGGCUAACUACGUGCCAGCAGCCGCGGUAAUACGUAGGUGGCAAGCGUUAUCCGGAAUUAUUGGGCGUAAAGCGCGCGUAGGCGGUUUUUUAAGUCUGAUGUGAAAGCCCACGGCUCAACCGUGGAGGGUCAUUGGAAACUGGAAAACUUGAGUGCAGAAGAGGAAAGUGGAAUUCCAUGUGUAGCGGUGAAAUGCGCAGAGAUAUGGAGGAACACCAGUGGCGAAGGCGACUUUCUGGUCUGUAACUGACGCUGAUGUGCGAAAGCGUGGGGAUCAAACAGGAUUAGAUACCCUGGUAGUCCACGCCGUAAACGAUGAGUGCUAAGUGUUAGGGGGUUUCCGCCCCUUAGUGCUGCAGCUAACGCAUUAAGCACUCCGCCUGGGGAGUACGACCGCAAGGUUGAAACUCAAAGGAAUUGACGGGGACCCGCACAAGCGGUGGAGCAUGUGGUUUAAUUCGAAGCAACGCGAAGAACCUUACCAAAUCUUGACAUCCUUUGACAACUCUAGAGAUAGAGCCUUCCCCUUCGGGGGACAAAGUGACAGGUGGUGCAUGGUUGUCGUCAGCUCGUGUCGUGAGAUGUUGGGUUAAGUCCCGCAACGAGCGCAACCCUUAAGCUUAGUUGCCAUCAUUAAGUUGGGCACUCUAAGUUGGCUGCCGGUGACAAACCGGAGGAAGGUGGGGAUGACGUCAAAUCAUCAUGCCCCUUAUGAUUUGGGCUACCCGCGUGCUANCAUGGACNAUACAAGGGGCGCCGAACCGCGAAGUCCAGCAAAUCCCAUAAAGUGGUCUCAGUUCGGAUUGGAUUCUGCAACUCGACUAACUGAAGCUGGGAUCCCUAGUAAUCCUAAAUCACCUGGUACCGGGAAAACUUCCCGGGGUC
Molecule: ribosomal RNA, 1368 nt
Filed under: uncultured bacterium
Lineage: Bacteria
Description: bacterial SSU rRNA
Rfam family: Bacterial small subunit ribosomal RNA
Source: RNAcentral